CUCGGACGCAGGAGGCCGGCGU
Molecule: microRNA, 22 nt
Filed under: Sus scrofa (pig)
Lineage: Eukaryota; Metazoa; Chordata; Mammalia; Artiodactyla; Suidae
Description: ssc-mir311
Source: RNAcentral